This 77-nucleotide transfer RNA is filed under the name Vibrio parahaemolyticus. RNAcentral's name for it is "tRNA-Val". The record is from RNAcentral. Lineage: Bacteria; Pseudomonadati; Pseudomonadota; Gammaproteobacteria; Vibrionales; Vibrionaceae.
GGGUCCGUAGCUCAGUUGGUUAGAGUACUACCUUGACAUGGUAGGGGUCGGCGGUUCGAGUUCGCCCGGACCCACCA